UGGGGAAUAUUGGACAAUGGGCGCAAGCCUGAUCCAGCAAUGCCGCGUGUGUGAUGAAGGCCUUAGGGUUGUAAAGCACUUUCACCGGAGAAGAUAAUGACGGUAUCCGGAGAAGAAGCCCCGGCUAACUUCGUGCCAGCAGCCGCGGUAAUACGAAGGGGGCUAGCGUCGUUCGGAAUUACUGGGCGUAAAGCGCACGUAGGCGGGUCGAUCAGUCAGGGGUGAAAACCCAGAGCUCAACUCUGGAACUGCCUUUGAUACUGUCGGUCUAGAGUAUGGAAGAGGUGAGUGGAAUUCCGAGUGUAGAGGUGAAAUUCGUAGAUAUUCGGAGGAACACCAGUGGCGAAAGCGGCUCACUGGUCCAUUACUGACGCUGAGGUGCGAAAGCGUGGGGAGCAAACAGG
RNAcentral lists this ribosomal RNA (404 nucleotides) under bacterium. RNAcentral describes it as "partial 16S ribosomal RNA". It matches the Rfam family "Bacterial small subunit ribosomal RNA", at positions 355 to 776 of the family's 1533-position model. The record is from RNAcentral.